This 253-nucleotide ribosomal RNA is filed under the name uncultured bacterium. RNAcentral's name for it is "partial 16S ribosomal RNA". It matches the Rfam family "Bacterial small subunit ribosomal RNA", at positions 524 to 776 of the family's 1533-position model. The record is from RNAcentral.
UACGUAGGGGGCUAGCGUUGUCCGGAUUUAUUGGGCGUAAAGAGCGUGUAGGCGGCCAGGUAGGUCUGGUGUGAAAACUCGAGGCUUAACCUCGAGAUGUCAUCGGAAACCAUCUGACUAGAGUCCGGAAGAGGAGAGUGGAAUUCCUGGUGUAGCGGUGAAAUGCGCAGAUAUCAGGAAGAACACCAAUGGCGAAAGCAGCUCUCUGGGACGGUACUGACGCUGAGACGCGAAAGCGUGGGGAGCGAACAGG